AGGGGUGUAGCUCAGUGGGCAGAGCAUCUGCCUUUGCAUGCAGAAGGUCCCAGGUUCAAUCCCUGGUAUCUCUA
Molecule: non-coding RNA, 74 nt
Organism: Podarcis lilfordi (Lilford's wall lizard)
Lineage: Eukaryota; Metazoa; Chordata; Lepidosauria; Squamata; Lacertidae
Source: the annotation of a GenBank genome assembly